GUUGAAAGGGAAAGAGAGGCAGGCUAACUGGGUGCUGUCAAUGUGAUGUAUUGCAGAUAAUCCUCAGAUUCAUCAAGGCCUGAAAUGCAGGAAUGGAGGUAUGAAAUGAAGCUGAGCAGACAAAACAUGAAAUAUCUCAGG
Long non-coding RNA from Trichomycterus rosablanca, 141 nucleotides. RefSeq lists it as uncharacterized. Lineage: Eukaryota; Metazoa; Chordata; Actinopteri; Siluriformes; Trichomycteridae. The record is from RefSeq and is a predicted model, not a curated record. The transcript is spliced from 3 exons.